GUCUACCGCCAUAAAAUCCUGAAUAUGUCUGAUCUCAGCUGAUCUCAAAAGCUAAGCAGGGUGGAGGAGAUAGCUCAGUGGCAUAAG
Molecule: ribosomal RNA, 87 nt
Filed under: Octodon degus (degu)
Lineage: Eukaryota; Metazoa; Chordata; Mammalia; Rodentia; Octodontidae
Source: RNAcentral